UAUGAGUGUGGGAUGGAUGAUGCAUGAUUGGCUAUAUGCUACAUGUAUGAGUGUGGGAUGGAUGAUGCAUGAUUGGCUAUAUUCUACAUGUAUGAGUGUGGGAUGGAUGAUGCAUGAUUGGCUAUAUGCUACAUGUAUGAGUGUGGGAUGGAUGAUGCAUGAUUGGCUAUAUGCUACAUGUAUGAGUGUGGGAUGGAUGGUGCAUGAUUGGCUAUAUUCUACAUGUAUGAGUGUGGGAUGGAUGGUGCAUGAUUGGCUAUAUUCUACAUGUAUGAGUGUGGGAUGGAUGGUGCAUGAUUGGCUAUAUGCUACAUGUAUGAGUGUGGGAUGGAUGGUGCAUGAUUGGCUAUAUGCUACAUGUAUGAGUGUGGGAUGGAUGGUGCAUGAUUGGCUAUAUGCUACAUGUAUGAGUGUGGGAUGGAUGGUGCAUGAUUAUCUAUAUUCUACAUGUAUGAGUGUGGGAUGGAUGGUGCAUGAUUGGCUAUAUUCUACAUGUAUGAGUGUGGGAUGGAUGGUGCAUGAUUGGCUAUAUGCUACAUGUAUGAGUGUGGGAUGGAUGAUGUAUGAUUGGCUAUAUUCUACAUGUAUGAGUGUGGGAUGGAUGAUGCAUGAUUGGCUAUAUUCUACAUGUAUGAGUGUGGGAUGGAUGGUGCAUGAUUGGCUAUAUUCUACAUGUAUGAGUGUGGGAUGGAUGGUGCAUGAUUGGCUAU
Non-coding RNA from Pelobates cultripes (western spadefoot toad), 710 nucleotides. NCBI's taxonomy places the organism in Eukaryota, Metazoa, Chordata, Amphibia, Anura, Pelobatidae. The record is from the annotation of a GenBank genome assembly.